CCGGCACGGUGGAGUAACACGUAUGCAAUCCACCUGUAACAGGGGAGUAACCCGGAGAAAUCCGACUAAUACCCAUAAUAUGGGCGCUCCGCAUGGAGAGCCCAUUAAAGAGAGCAAUUUUGGUUACAGACGAGCAUGCGCUCCAUUAGCCAGUUGGCGGGGUAACGGCCCACCAAAGCGACGAUGGAUAGGGGUUCUGAGAGGAAGGUCCCCCACAUUGGAACUGAGACACGGUCCAA
RNAcentral lists this ribosomal RNA (239 nucleotides) under uncultured bacterium. RNAcentral describes it as "partial 16S ribosomal RNA". It matches the Rfam family "Bacterial small subunit ribosomal RNA", at positions 105 to 334 of the family's 1533-position model. The record is from RNAcentral.